GAUGAACGCUGGCGGCGUGCCUAAUACAUGCAAGUCGAGCGAACAGAUGCGGAGCUUGGUCCUCUGACGUGAGCGGCGGACGGGUGAGUAACACGUGGACAACCUCCCUAUAAGACAGGGAUAACUUCGGGAAACCGUAGCUAAUACCGGAUAAUAUAUGGAACUGCAUGGGUCAAUAGUGAAAGACGGUUUUGCGGUCACUUAUAGAUGGAUCCGCGCGGCAUUAGCUAGUUGGUAAGGUAAAGGCUUACCAAGGCAACGAUGCGUAGCCGACCUGAGAGGGUGAUCGGCCACACUGGAACUGAGACACGGUCCAGACUCCUACGGGAGGCAGCAGUAGGGAAUCUUGCGCAAUGGGCGAAAGCCUGACGGAGCAACGCCGCGUGAGUGAUGAAGGUCUUCGGAUCGUAAAACGCUGUUGUUAGGGAAGAACAAAUGUGUAAGUACCUAUGCACGUCUUGACGGUACCUGAUCAGAAAGCCACGGCUAACUACGUG
RNAcentral lists this ribosomal RNA (497 nucleotides) under uncultured bacterium. RNAcentral's name for it is "partial 16S ribosomal RNA". It matches the Rfam family "Bacterial small subunit ribosomal RNA", at positions 28 to 507 of the family's 1533-position model. The record is from RNAcentral.